RNAcentral lists this ribosomal RNA (771 nucleotides) under uncultured bacterium. RNAcentral describes it as "bacterial SSU rRNA". It matches the Rfam family "Bacterial small subunit ribosomal RNA", at positions 8 to 796 of the family's 1533-position model. The record is from RNAcentral.
AGAGUUUGAUCAUGGCUCAGGAUGAACGCUGGCGGCGUGCUUAACACAUGCAAGUCGAACGGAAAGGCCCUUCGGGGUACUCGAGUGGCGAACGGGUGAGUAACACGUGGGUGAUCUGCCCUGCACUUUGGGAUAAGCCUGGGAAACUGGGUCUAAUACCGAAUAUGACCAUGCACUUCCUGGUGUGUGGUGGAAAGCUUUUGCGGUGUGGGAUGGGCCCGCGGCCUAUCAGCUUGUUGGUGGGGUAAUGGCCUACCAAGGCGACGACGGGUAGCCGGCCUGAGAGGGUGACCGGCCACACUGGGACUGAGAUACGGCCCAGACUCCUACGGGAGGCAGCAGUGGGGAAUAUUGCACAAUGGGCGCAAGCCUGAUGCAGCGACGCCGCGUGAGGGAUGACGGCCUUCGGGUUGUAAACCUCUUUCAGCACAGACGAAGUGUAAGUGACGGUAUGUGCAGAAGAAGGACCGGCCAACUACGUGCCAGCAGCCGCGGUAAUACGUAGGGUCCGAGCGUUGUCCGGAAUUACUGGGCGUAAAGAGCUCGUAGGUGGUUUGUCGCGUUGUUCGUGAAAACUCACAGCUUAACUGUGGGCGUGCGGGCGAUACGGGCAGACUUGAGUACUGCAGGGGAGACUGGAAUUCCUGGUGUAGCGGUGGAAUGCGCAGAUAUCAGGAGGAACACCGGUGGCGAAGGCGGGUCUCUGGGCAGUAACUGACGCUGAGGAGCGAAAGCGUGGGGAGCGAACAGGAUUAGAUACCCCGGUAGUCC